This 68-nucleotide small RNA is filed under the name Cytobacillus firmus. Its description in RNAcentral is "Bacillus firmus Bacillaceae-1 RNA". It matches the Rfam family "Bacillaceae-1 RNA". RNAcentral also lists the same sequence under 1 other name. The record is from RNAcentral. Lineage: Bacteria; Bacillati; Bacillota; Bacilli; Caryophanales; Bacillaceae.
CACGAAGGAACGCAGACUGGGAACGGCCACGUCCUGUGGCAACUUCUGCAUGACCCCUAGCCCCUGGG